UGUAGAGUAGACUAAUGGUUGGUCACUAGACUCAUGAUCUAGAAAUGUAGGUUCGAUUCCUACCUCUGCUU
RNAcentral lists this transfer RNA (71 nucleotides) under Oscarella pearsei. Its description in RNAcentral is "tRNA-Met". It matches the Rfam family "tRNA". Rfam says of the family: Transfer RNA (tRNA) molecules are approximately 80 nucleotides in length. Their secondary structure includes four short double-helical elements and three loops (D, anti-codon, and T loops). Lineage: Eukaryota; Metazoa; Porifera; Homoscleromorpha; Homosclerophorida; Oscarellidae. The record is from RNAcentral.